Molecule: ribosomal RNA, 257 nt
Filed under: uncultured bacterium
Lineage: Bacteria
Description: partial 16S ribosomal RNA
Rfam family: Bacterial small subunit ribosomal RNA
Source: RNAcentral
CGGACGGGUGAGUAACGCGUGAGCAACCUGCCUUUCAGAGGGGGAUAACGUUUGGAAACGAACGCUAAUACCGCAUGAGACCACGGUACUGCAUAGUACAGUGGCCAAAGGAGCAAUCCGCUGAAAGAUGGGCUCGCGUCCGAUUAGAUAGUUGGUGGGGUAACGGCCCACCAAGUCGACGAUCGGUAGCCGGACUGAGAGGUUGAACGGCCACAUUGGGACUGAGACACGGCCCAGACUCCUACGGGAGGCAGCAG